Long non-coding RNA from Homo sapiens (human), 2481 nucleotides. The record is from Ensembl. NCBI's taxonomy places the organism in Eukaryota, Metazoa, Chordata, Mammalia, Primates, Hominidae.
AUCUUUUGAUUUAUAUUUAUUACAUAAACAAUUCUAGCAACCUCAUUUCUUAUCUUCCCUUCUGUUAACUCAGAGACGUCCCCUGUUUAUUUUUUUUUCUUGGUAGUUUUCUGAGCUGUUCAAUCUUUCAGACAACCAGCUUGUGUCUGAACAUAUGUAUGUGUGUGUGACGCAUGCACAUGUCACAGAGUGAGCUGUUGUGUGUGCAUAUGUGUGCGUGUAGAUGGUUGAGAGGCACCAAUGACAGGCUGUCUGGGUGCAAGCAGGCCAAGCCCCACUCCUCAAGAUGGAGGAGGAGCUGCUGCUCCCGGUGGGGACUCCCCAGUAGGCCACUGGGGGAAGCCCCACGACCCAGACAGCAGGUGGAGAGCAGCAGCUGGCCGGAGAUCGACUUCAGCGAGAAACUGUGCGGAGCUCCAGCAGCUGGACUUCCUGGAGCAGAAGAGCCGCUGAACCCCGCCCCUGCUGAUCUCACUGCACACAGCCUAGGGCCCCACCCGCCGAGGACUCCAGAACCUUCUCCUACCAGCUCGCCCAGAGACCAAGCCAAGAGAGUGGUCUCUGAGGAGCCCGCUAGAAAGGCAAGGCGAGGCCCGCAGAGAAGGAUGCCAAGCCUGUAGAAGCAGAGACGUCGGGGAUGGGGGACCUGCCCUGGGCGCCGCCAGAGGCCCAAGCGCCCAGCACCGCAGGAGCUGGAGACGUCGCUGAGCACCAGGUGGCGCCGGCGCGGUUCCUACAGGGAGCCUGGAGGCAGGCUGCGGGGUGGCUGUGCCGGGAGACUGGAGCGGCUCCUGGCUCCGCGCAGGCAGGGCCCCCAGAGACAGCUCAUGCAGCAGAUCCGCAGCCCCGGGGCCCUCAGGCACCGCCGCGGCUGCCGCCCUCGCUCAGUCCCGAGCGCGUCCACCCUGGCCAGCCAGCUGCCCCCGCUGAACCUGCGCCGGGCGCUCCGGCUCUCCGUUCGGGCCCCAGCCAACCCCGCGGGCUCAGGCUCCCAGUUCCUGUCCCAGCCUGCGCCGGCUCCAGCGCCCCCGGCUCUCCAGCUGCUCUUCCCGACUCCUAUCCUUGGCCGCCCCCAGCGCGGAACCGACCCGCGACCCUACCGCCAACAUCGCGGGUCUCGCCUCUCGCAGCCUUUUUGGCGUCCGCGCCUCAGCGUUGAAGCCAGGGCCCCUCGUGAGCUCGGCGCCCAGCCUGUCAAGUCCUCUUCUGCCUCAGCUCUCACAGCAGUGUCUUCCCCGCCUGCUGGUCGGCAUCGCGCCACAGCCAAUGUCUCCUGUUGCUGUCCGCCCCCGCGAAGCGCUGCAAGGGCCAGCGCCCAACCUGUCGCUGCGGAAGACCGGGGCAUAGAACCUGUCCUGGUGCUGGGCAAGCGCUUCCGCCCCAAGUCCCCGACCUGGGCAACCUGGAGGAGCCCAGGGAAUAGCGCUCAGGACCCAGAGGCUGGACAGCCAGCCCGCCCGCCCGUCCCUGGCCACGAGGCGCCCCGGACCUGACCACCGCCCCCGCCACCUCCGCCGGUGGGCAAGGAGGGUCCCCUUUCAGCCUGCAGUUCCUCAGCAGAGAGGAGGGCCCUCCGCAGGCCCGCGCCCGGUCCCACACUGGGGAGAAGCCGUUCAGCGGCGCCAUCUGCGGUAGGGCCUUCACCACUAAGGGCAACCUCCAGGUACACUUGGCACUCACAUGUGGAAUAACCACCCUCACAACCUCCCCCAAGGCGAGCUGCCGCGGUGGAACAGUCCAUGGCUCUGCUAGGGGAUGAUGGCCUGAAGUUCUCUGAAAUAUUCCGGAAGGAUCUGACAGCCCAAAUAAUGAAUGGCGACCCCAAUAUUUGGAACCAGGAAGCUGCAGCUCACCCCCAGGAGCUUCCCAUAAAGAACAAUGAGAUUUCCAUCAUUCAGAACAGAGGCUUUUCCCAGAUCCCAGGAAGUUUUGGCUGCUGCACCAUCCCUCUGGGUACCCUGGGGUGCAAAGAGCGCAAAAUAGCCCUCCCAUUGUCAGUCUGGACAACGCACCUCAGCAGCCUGCAUAGCAGGCAGCGUCCAUUCGCCAGGUUACCCAGGAGAACAAGGAGAUGGUCUAAACUAGCUCAACACACGGGACUCGCGUCCUUCAACAGUGAGUCUGACUGUUCUUGAGAACUCUGCAACCUUUUAAGUGAAAAAAAAAGGUGAUUGCAAAACGGCCUCAGGAACAGAAAGAGCCCAGGCAAUCCUCACUUCUUUUCUACUAAAACCCAGUAAUCCCUAGAGGGAGAAAGGGCGUCUCCUGCAGUAUUCCACUGAAACUCGCUGGUUUUGCUCGAAUUAGACACUUGAACUAUGUUUUUAGAACUCUUCAUCUUAAAAGAAGUGGUUUAGUAGUCCAAAUGCUGUGUAUUAUGACAGUGUCUUCCUCUGACGUAUUUAUAAUGUUAAGAUUAUGUGGGCAACAGACAAUAUAAUAACCCUAACCUUAAAUGAAGUUUAUCUACUUCUGAAUAAA